ACCCGCUGAACUUAAGCAUAUCAAUAAGCGGAGGAAAAGAAACCAACAGGGAUUGCCCUAGUAACGGCGAGUGAAGCGGCAACAGCUCAAAUUUGAAAUCUGGCUCUUUUAGAGUCCGAGUUGUAAUUUGCAGAGGGCGCUUUGGCUUUGGCAGCGGUCCAAGUUCCUUGGAACAGGACGUCACAGAGGGUGAGAAUCCCGUACGUGGUCGCUGGCUAUUGCCGUGUAAAGCCCCUUCGACGAGUCGAGUUGUUUGGGAAUGCAGCUCUAAAUGGGAGGUACAUUUCUUCUAAAGCUAAAUAUUGGCCAGAGACCGAUAGCGCACAAGUAGAGUGAUCGAAAGAUGAAAAGCACUUUGGAAAGAGAGUCAAACAGCACGCGAAAUUGUUGAAAGGGAAGCGCUUGCAGCCAGACUUGCUUACAGUUGCUCAUCCGGGCUUUUGCCCGGUGCACUCUUCUGUAGGCAGGCCAGCAUCAGUUUGGGCGGUAGGAUAAAGGUCUCUGUCACGUACCUCUCUUCGGGGAGGCCUUAUAGGGGAGACGACAUACUACCAGCCUGGACUGAGGUCCGCGCAUCUGCUAGGAUGCUGGCGUAAUGGCUGU
This 603-nucleotide ribosomal RNA is filed under the name uncultured fungus. Its description in RNAcentral is "eukaryotic LSU rRNA". It matches the Rfam family "Eukaryotic large subunit ribosomal RNA", at positions 23 to 641 of the family's 3401-position model. Lineage: Eukaryota; Fungi. The record is from RNAcentral.